UGUUCACAGGUGGGACCAGGAGGGGCUAGGGCCCGUGAGGGCAUGGGCAGCACUUCCCUGACACCCUUAGAGCUGUCCAGGAGCGGGUCCUGAGAACCCUGGUUCUGUCCCCUCCACAGUGUAGUGGGGGAAGGAGGAACACAGGCCCACACCAUAAAGCUCCCCCAGCCCCUCUUGUUCUGAGUGGUUUCUUCAGGUUGUGGUUGGACUGUAAUCGUGGUUGGAGGCUGGAAGAACCAGGUGUAUGUUCAUCAUGGCUCAGGAUCAGGAUAGCAUAUGCCAGUUUAUUUAUUCUACUACAGUCAUGGCAGUGGGGCUUGAGAGACUUGCUUGCUCUGCCUACCUGGGGUAGGGUAAAGGUGGGGCCGCCCAAGGAGGCCAUCCCCUUCCUCUGGCUGUGGGAUGGAGAGGAAGGGAAUGGAGUGGGAGAAACAGGAAAGAUCAGACAGAUGCUGAAAGAGAACAAGACACAGACACAGAACUGCAAGCGAUUCCCUCCUGUCCUCAACCAUCUCAGGUGUGUGCUAUGCUGCUGGGGUGGGGAGGCUCACAGCCCCCGUCUCUGGGGAAUUUGGGUCUUAGGGACGUAGGAACCAAGUCCUAAUAUCUCUCCCUACUCCCACGAUAACCUCCACCACCCCCUCCCUCCUCGCAGCCGAUCCUGCAGAGCACCCCCCACCUCCCCCUCCAGAGCCCGCCCUGUGGAGGGCGCGGGUGGGAGCGAGCUAUGCACCCGUCACUGGGAUCGUCGGGGUACAGGGAGAGAGAGGGCGCUUUCUAGGGUCCCCCUCCCUUUUCUUCGCGCUGAUACUUCCGCCGCCCCCUACUCUGACAAGCGCGGCUGUAAUUAGGCUGCGGGGUCCCGGGCUCUCCGCCUCCCUCCGGCGGAUAAUGAGAUAAAGUGUCAGAGACACGGCGAGAACAAAGAGACAGAGACUCGCUGCGAUGUGUGUGGGGGGCGGGGGAGCGGGGCUGACGGGCUGUCAGAGUCUCCAGCAGCCCAGCCCUCCCAGAGAGCCCGCACCUCCAGGGCCCAGGAAGGGAGGGCGUGUCCUGUCACCCGCGCCCCCCAGCCCUCCAGUCUCUGGGACCAAAAAGCAAUCCCAGGGUUCAAACUUGAGCGGCCGCACAGCUGGGCUGCACAUCUGGUUCUCUGUGGCACAGCUGGGGAGCCAGGACGCCGGAAGGGGCGCCUGGUCCUUGCGCCUUUGCUCACGGGCCCUCGCCUGCUUCCUUGUGCCCCUUGUUCUGAGUUCCGGUGACCCCGGCCAGGUCCCAAAUUCUCUGUCGCGCUGCUUUUCCAGAGCCGCCGCUGUCCCUCCGGCCUUGGGCCUCCGCCCCGCUCACCGAGAUGCAACGUUAUAUUAUUGCCUCCGCUCCGCCUCUCCGCCACUCUUUGACCCUUCUCCUGCUUCUGGUCCCUGUCUCUGUGAAUUUACUUCUAAGCCCCCUUUCAUCUUUGGUUCCAGUCUCUGGCUCUUGGCCCAUGGGGCCGAUCUGGAACACAGGACUCCUUGGGUUCCGGAUCCCAUCUCCCCUCGCUCCCCACACUUUCCCACCACGAGGACUCAGGCCACGCUGGCCCAGUGGAGUGAGGGACCGCAGAAGUCAUUAGCCGCAGAUUAGGCGCGGCCCGGGAUCCCGCUGGGACUGGACUCCAAGCGCUAACCCGCACCAGGAUCCCAGUCCGCGCUCUGGCUGCACAGCGGAUCAAAGGCAGCGGGACUCAGCGGAUCGAGCGUGUUGGAGGGGCCGUGGGCUCGGGCGCCCCCUGGAGGCCGAGCGUCCCCCAAGCUCGGGGAAGAGGCCUUGGGCACCCCCUGUCGGGCAGUGCCGACCCUGCACUCCCGGCAUUCGGGCCGCUAAGUUGGUGCCUAGAGUGUCCGUCCACGCCCAACCCGUCACUCCGCCACUCCCGCCGCCAAGACAGUGGGUCCCGCAGCCUCCACUCUUCUGGUGUGAGAUGGGACCGGAGGGCGGAGAGUGGACGCGGAAGCUCCUAUCUCGCCAGCCACAAUCGGCACCCAGGGUUCAGGCGGGUUCCUCUUCUGGGGUUGGGCAGCCUCAGAUGCCUGGGGGCCGGGGAGGCGGGGGCUUCAUCUCUGCUUCUGGGCUGCAGAUUCGAGAUUGCCCUAAGCCCUCUGACCUGGCCUGUCCUAGCCUCUGUCUGCCCUUCUUUCUGCCUCUUGUUCGGGCGGUCUGUCUGCUUCCUGUCUCUGGCUCUAUUCCUAUUCUCUGGGUUGCUGCCUCUGGGGACUGCAGCAGCCCAACAGGGCAGCCCGGGGACGCCUCAGGGCACUGCCCGGGGUCCUCCUCCUCAGUGCCCGGGGUCCUCCUCCUGGUCACCUCCACGCAGCGUUGGUCUUCCCGCUGCGGCUGUGGGACGUGGAGGGGCGCCCGGGAGGGAAGACACAGGGCCCAGCAUAUCUGCUCGGGAGCCCCGGGGCCCCUGACCCCCUCUGCCAUUAUUAAGGGCGCCGGGUCCCGAGGCACCGAGAUGAUCAUGAUUGCAUCAGCCAGACAGAAGCGGAGCCGGGAGCUGCGCGGUGAGCGAACGAGUGAGACAAAGACGCCCGCGCCAUCUGUUUAUGCAAAGCGCUCUCCGCCGGGGACCCCGGCGUCCCGGCUCCUGGCCGGGCUUGGGGCAAGGGUCAUAAGCCCAUUCCCACCCGGCGCCCCCACCGCGCCUUGGCUUCCCCUCUCCUCAGCACUCAGAGGGGCCGCGGGGCGAGCGGAACGGAGAGGGGGUGGGGGUGUUGAUGUGAUUGGAGCGGACGCGGCUGUUUCUUCAAUAAUGGAUGGAGAUGAUGCGGACGGCGAAGCCGAGCUGGCCGGGAGAGGAGAGAGGAAUAGAAAUGGGGAAAGGAAGGAGUGGGGGCGGGAGACUCACCCAGGCGCGCGCGCACACACACGCGCGCGCGCACGUGCGUCACACUGUCAUUCGGAUACACGCCGCCGCGCGGCUCACACCCAGGCGCACGCCUACGCACUGUCACCGAGACACACAUACCUGCAGGCGGAGACGCGAUAGCAACACACACUCCCCGCUGGCUCUUCCUGAUUUUCACACAUACACAGACCUGCAGGCGGAGACUCACGGAAACGCCCCCACGCGGAGGCACACCCGGGCAAAAUCUCCCAGAUGGGAGCUGGGGACGGGGAAGUGGACAAACCCGACAGAUAUAGACACACUCAGGGGCACAGACACACACUCGGGCACAGAGUCGGACACACCUGGGGCUCAGGUAGACACACCUCACAUACCCAGGGAACAAACGGACACACAAACCACACGCCGGGGAUACAGACGUCCAUAAUUGCCAGGGGCACGGAGAGACCACCCACACCCACUCAGAGGCUAGCACACCUUAGCAUAUGCAAGAGUUGCCAUCUGUGCCCUGCGGGGUGGAAUGUGGCAGGGAAGUCAUCAGGGUCUCCGGAGCAGGCCUUGUUAGCCUAGCAGUAUAAUGAGGUCUUGGUGACAGGAGGCGCCUGGGGCUGUGGACUAGGAGGCCCGUGCACCAGGGCUUAGCUGCCUGCAAGCUUCCUUGACUGGCCCCUAGGGCGGGUGGUGCCGACGUUGGGCCGCCCCUGAGCAGCAGACCCGGCGGACCCCACUGACUCAAAUCGGGCAGUUUGGUGGAGGGAGAGCCUAAAGGGAACACUGGAGCUGCACCAGGAGAUUCUCAGGAUCCCCAACACUGCUUCUGGUGGGGUUUAUAGAGAGGGUCACUCUGUACUCUGCCUUUUCCCCCCGUGCUGCUCAGUCUUCCAACUUCAAGGGGCACGUGUGUGUGUGUGUGUGUGUGUGUGUGUGUGUGUGUGUGCGCGCGCGCGCGCGCUGAGUGGAGUGGGCAGUGGAAGAGGUUGGGGUGCGGGUUGUCUUGUACCCCAGUACCGGCCCUUCCUCGGAUCUGUUUUCAAUUCAGUCUGCUCCUUGGCCCAGACUUAUGACCUUUGCAGCGUGCGGCAGUAUCAUCCAUCACCCGGGCGCCGCUUACGGGAUGGAGGGCGCUGGGAGCUCACAUAGGGUGGCUGUCACGCCUGCCGCCCUCUCUGGGGACCUGCUCUCCGGCCCGCGGGCCAGGGCUUAACAGUCUUGCAGCAGAUGGUGCCCGGGCUCCCGCUGCCAACCUUGCUAGGCGGUGCCAACCUCAGUCCUGGCAGACAACGGGCAGACGAGAAGAGGAGCUCCUGGCUGGCCAAGCCGACCCUCCCCCACCCGGCAUCGAGCUCAAGACCCCCCACACACGCCUGCCCCACUCCAGCGACCACCCCAGCCUGCCUCUCACUGGGUCCGCUCUCAGGUCCCCAAACUCCUCGUCUCCUUCUGCUCCCUUCCCCACACCUUCCCGCUCCUCGCCACCUGCCGCCCUGACCAGGGCCGGCGUAUUUGCAUAUUUGCAUAUGCAAAUAAUAACAUUUGCAUAGGGCGCUCCGCAGGGGUGUCUCCACGAGAGCCGGUUAGCUGUCUGCCCUCCGUCCUCACUCGGUACCUGUCGGAAAGGGUUAGGGCAGGGGCCGCGCGGGUGGGGUUAGGCCCCCGGCCUAGCUAGCUCGGUUCUCGGAGGACUUGAGGAAGUGUUGCCAUGGAGACGGCACGCACCCCACCCCCUCCCAGGCCCAGGGUCUCGGGCUUGGUGUCUCUGGUUCUCUCCCCUUACCCACCCUCCACCCCCUCCCCAUCCCUCGCUCUCCAACCGAGAUCUUGCAUCGCCCCCUGGCGGCCUAGCUCGGCACCAAGCCAGAUUCCGAAAUGCAAGGGGCUGCCUGUGGCUAAAUCGCCAAGAGCAAGGGGGAACUUACCCUACUACAAGAUCCUGCUCCCAAUCGCUGGGGCGCGGGGGCGGUGACUCCAGCCCCGCCCUCCCCUUUCUUUACUGACUACAGAGGCCUCACCUGGCGGGCGGACUUCCCACCUCCCGCCAACCUCAGCCCAGAUGGGUCUCAGGUUACCCAAUGGUAACGAGGCGGGACAGCUAGGGAGGAUUCUCCACCCCUCCGCAGGCCCUCUUCUCAACCCCAGUUAAAUAACAACUUUUCUAAGUUUUGUCAAAAGUUUAAUAAAUUUGCAACAUUC
This is an RNA transcript of Nomascus leucogenys (northern white-cheeked gibbon), 5080 nucleotides long. RefSeq lists it as uncharacterized. Lineage: Eukaryota; Metazoa; Chordata; Mammalia; Primates; Hylobatidae. The record is from RefSeq and is a predicted model, not a curated record. The transcript is spliced from 3 exons.